GACGAACGCUGGCGGCGUGCUUAACACAUGCAAGUCGAACGGAAAGGCCCCUUUGGGGGUCCUUGAGUGGCGAACGGGUGAGUAACACGUGAGUAACCUUCCCUUGCCUUCGGGUUAACUUCAGGAAACUGGGGCUAAUACCGGUUAGGCAUCCUUGCUGCAUGGUGGGGGUUGGAAAGCUUCUGGGGCUUUGGAUGGACUCGCGGCGUAUAAGCUUGUUGGUGGGGUAGUGGGUUACCAAGGCGCUGACGGGUCGCGGGCCAGAGAGGGCGAGCGGCCACACUGGGACUGGCAGGCGGCCGCGGCGCCGACGGGAGGAAACAGGGGGGAAGACUGAACAAGGGGCGGAAGCCUGAUGAAGAAAGGCCGCGUGCUGGAUAACGGUCUUCGUGGUGAAAACCGCUUUCAGCAGGAGCGAAGGUUGUGGUGACGGUACCUGCAGAAGAAGCACCGGCUAACUACGUG
This 465-nucleotide ribosomal RNA is filed under the name uncultured bacterium. RNAcentral's name for it is "partial 16S ribosomal RNA". It matches the Rfam family "Bacterial small subunit ribosomal RNA", at positions 28 to 507 of the family's 1533-position model. The record is from RNAcentral.